Molecule: transfer RNA, 75 nt
Filed under: Thermoprotei archaeon
Lineage: Archaea; Thermoproteati; Thermoproteota; Thermoprotei
Also listed under: 3 other names
Description: tRNA-Arg
Rfam family: tRNA
About the family: Transfer RNA (tRNA) molecules are approximately 80 nucleotides in length.
Source: RNAcentral
GGGCCCAUAGCUCAGCAUGGAUAGAGCAACGGCCUCCGGAGCCGUUGGUCCAGGGUUCAAAUCCCUGUGGGCCCG